RNAcentral lists this ribosomal RNA (927 nucleotides) under uncultured organism. RNAcentral's name for it is "bacterial SSU rRNA". It matches the Rfam family "Bacterial small subunit ribosomal RNA", at positions 519 to 1440 of the family's 1533-position model. The record is from RNAcentral.
GGUAAUACGUAUGGGGCAAGCGUUGUCCGGAUUUACUGGGGCGUAAAGGGCGCCGUAGGCGGUUUGUUAAGUCGAAGGUGAAAUCCUCGGGCUCAACUCGAGAAUUUGCCUUCGAUACUUGGCAAACUAGAGUGGCGGAGAGGAAAGCGGAACUCUUGGUGUAACGGUGGAAUGUGUAGAUAUCAAGAGGAACACCGGUGGCGAAGGCGGCUUUCUGGACGCACACUUGACGCUCAGGCGCGGAAGCCUGGGUAGCAAACAGGAUUAGAUACCCUGGUAGUCCACGCCAUAGACGAUGGGUACUAGGUGUCGGGGGUAUCGACCCCUCCGGUGCCGCAGUUAACGCACUAAGUACCCCGCCUGGGGAUUAUGGUCGCAAGGCUGAAACUCAAAGGAAUUGACGGGGCCCCGCACAAGCGGUGGAGCAUGUGGUUUAAUUCGACGCAACGCGAAGAACCUUACCUGGGCUUGACAUGCUUGGGACAGCGCUGGAAACAGCGUCUCUCCUUCGGGAGCCCUUGCACAGGUGCUGCAUGGCUGUCGUCAGCUCGUGUCGUGAGAUGUUGGGUUAAGUCCCGCAACGAGCGCAACCCUCGUUACUAGUUGCCAUCAGUUCGGCUGGGCACUCUAGUGAGACUGCCGGUGAUAAACCGGAGGAAGGUGAGGAUGAUGUCAAGUCAUCAUGGCCCUUACGCCCAGGGCUACACACGUGCUACAAUGGUCGGGCACAAAGGGUCGCUAAGCCGCGAGGUGGAGCUAAUCCCAAAAAGCCGGCCUCAGUUCGGAUUGGAGUCUGCAACCCGACUCCAUGAAGGCGGAAUCGCUAGUAAUCGCGGAUCAGCAUGCCGCGGUGAAUAGUUCCCGGGGCUUGACACACCGCCCGUCAUAUCACCCGAGUCGGGGAUACCCGUAGUCCGUGACCCAACC